Salvelinus fontinalis (brook trout) is the source of this 3284-nucleotide long non-coding RNA. RefSeq lists it as uncharacterized. The record is from RefSeq and is a predicted model, not a curated record. The transcript has 3 exons. NCBI's taxonomy places the organism in Eukaryota, Metazoa, Chordata, Actinopteri, Salmoniformes, Salmonidae.
GGGGGUUCAGAGGAGCAAAACGCAUGCAGACAGUCCCCAUCACAUUAUUGUAGACCUGACAUACCGCCAAGAAGGAUAACGGCAUUAUGUACUCUGAACGACUAUGGCGGAGAAGAUGACUUAGAUGCUAUUCUCCCGUUCUGUACGAACGUUUUUUCAAACACACCGAGAACCGAGGAUUUAAACAUCCCGUCAACUCCCCCGAACCUCCACCCGCUCGCUCCAUAUUCCAGACCCAAACAAACAAUGAACAACUCGGGCGCAAGUACAUUGCGCAGAAUCAUCCCAGACCGAAAAGUGCUACUUGGCAGGGAAUUUACUGCUUCAAGAAAUGGACACGGUUUGAAGCCAUUAUAUAUAUAUAUUAGUUAUACAUAUUUUAUUAUUUAUACAUUUUUUGAUGAUUGAAUAUGUUAAAACAAUGACAAAUUAUGUUUUUUCAGACUCCAACGAGACAUGCCCGGCAGAAUCUGGAAUACCUGGUGAAAAAAGUCAAGAGCCCCCGGAUUCCGCGAUUCGUCAGAACAGCCCUCGUCAAAAAAGCCGAGACUCCUCCCCGGCGUUUAACGGCAUACACCUAAAGCACGUGGAGGUUUUCGGCUCCCCGGACAUUCACAAUGAAACAACGAAACCGGAGGAUUUCACCGUUUUAAAUUACAUUUCAGAGGUAGACGACCUGCUAUUACGCAAUCCGAUUAAAAAACGCAAAUACAGGCGCUAAAAACAUAUAUGUAACAUGUAUCCUUCCAGAAUACCACAAGAACACACAUCAUUAAUUAUCCAAAUGGCUGAGCCAACAGACAUAAUUGAGACAGUUGAAACCCUGUAAUCCCAGAUACCAUUCGAACUCCAAGAUAUAAUUAACCAGAUGAGUGAGGCUGAGGUAACAGACAUAAUACCGAUAGAGGAAAACAUAUCAUCCCAGAUACCGCCCGAACUCAUAGAAAUAAUUAAUUGUAUGAAUGAGUCAGGGGCUACCGAUGAAAACCGGUUAUCCCAGAUCCCCGACGCCCUCAUAUCGUUAAUUAACCAGAUGAAUGAGAGCAUAGGAUCUUCUACACCGGACACCCCACAGACCCCGCCAUUAACGCCCAUGUCUGAAGAGUCUGAAAUGCAGUACGAUGUUUUUGAGGAAUUGGAAAAUUGUCUAAUAAAUCAGGAGGGAGAUGGUAUUGAUAGAAGUGUCCGUGUUGUGUACCGAAAUAAAUUCUGCAAUUCAGCGAUUCGACAGUUUUUCAAUUUCACAUGGGUGAAUCAGAAUCUUGACUAUGCAGUGUUUUAUGUGAUGAUAUUGGAUACUCUGAACGAACUGUUAGACAGGGCAAGAGAUUAUGGCGAACCUCGUAAUGUCUUACAGUUGGAAAUUUGUGGAGAUGUGUAACAGUAUAACUUUAAACCGUCCCCUCGCCCCGACACGGGCGCGAACCAGGGACCCUCUGCACACAUCAACAACAGUCACCCACGAAACGUCGUUACCCAUCACUCCACAAAAGCCGCGGCCCUUGCAGAGCAAGGGGCAACACUACUAAUAGGUUUCAGAGCAAGUGACGUAACUGAUUGAAACGCUACUAGCGCGUACCCGCUAACUAGCUAGCCAUUUCACAUCCGUUACCGAUGCAUAACACUGUAUCUCUUAUUUUACCCAAUGGUGAAGCAGAUCUUGAACAAUGUAUAGCCCUGCUGGAACGACUUGAUCAGUCAAAUGUAUCCGUCAUAGCCGAUAGGACCCUCGAGCUUGUAGUGCAAAUAAUACGUCAACCCCUGGGUGGCGGGGGUCAGAGAAGGAAACUAGAUAGCAUAAUGCAAUCAGAAAUCAUAAGCAAUAAAAGGGCAUAUCCCAUAAACGUUCACAAUCCUGGUAAUAAGCUAUGCUUUUCAACAGGCCUAGCACAUUUACUCAACCCUGGAUGUACGGAUCUAGAGGCGUUACACAAGGCUAGAGAGCUCCAAACGGCCGUGGGUCUAGGUAUACAGGAUGCGGUGGCUUUCUCGGAAAUAGUCAAAUUUGAAAACUUUCUGAACAUCAAGAUUGUGGUUUUGUACCACAGUAGAGCUUAUGCAGCUGUCUUGAAAUUCCAAAAACAACCCACAACCUCAUCCUCAGAUUCUGUACUUUUAUGUGCAAAACGCCCACUAUUAUGCCGUUACUAACAUCACAGCGUUUUUAGGCGCACCAUAUGUGUGUCCAUCCUGCCAUACCGGCUACACCCGAAUGGGGGGGCACUCGUGCCGUUAUAACUGUUCAGUAUGUCUGGAUGAAAAUUGUCCGAUGCAACCCUUAAACCUGACACCCUGUGCGGAUUGUCACCGCACAUGUCGUUCGGCCUACUGUUACGAAAAACACAACAUUUAAACAUGGCACCCCAAGGCCUGUAAAUCUGUAAGCAGUUGUGAGAUUCUUUACAGGCUACUUACGGGUUAAAAUUGGAUGUGAUGUGGGAGCAUGAAUGGAUCGCACUCAAAAAGUCUGAUCCUCAUGUUCGAGACUUCCUUUCCAGCUUUGACACACCAGAACCCUUGGAACCAUGACAGGCCUUGUAUGGAGGCCGUACCAAUGCUUUGACAUUGAGGUAUGUAGCGCAACCCAACGAGACAAUAGGAUAUGUAGAUUUUACAUCCCUUUAUCCUCAUGUAAUGAGUUCCUCCUGCUAUCCUAUGGGGCAUCCUAAAAUUAUUCAGCGUGACUUUGACUUACCCCGAAACUAUUUUGGUCUGAUCAAAGCAACUGUCUACCCUCCUAUGGGUUUGUUUAUACCAGUGUUGCCUUACAAGGGACCUCAAGGAAAACUUUUCUUUCCCCUUUGUUGCACCUGCAGUGAAAACAACAACCAGGAAAACCCUUGUGAUCACUCAGAUCAAGAAAGAGCCCUGACAGGUGUAUGGGUCACAGUUUAGUUCUCUAAGGCUCUAGAGAUGGGUUAUCGUGUGGCCAAAAUCUUUGAAGUGUGGAACUUUUCCAGGAAAUCAGACACUCUUUUUAAAGAGUACAUCAAGACCUUCUUGAGAUGCGAGCAAAUGGCUUUAGGCUAUCCUGCAUCGGUCACAGAUCAAAAGAGCAAAGACAAGUACAUUCAAGACUAUCACGACAGAGAAGACAUCCUUCUUGACCCUGACAGAAUAGAGGUCAACAAAACCAAAAGAAAUGUGUAGAAAUUGUACUUGAACUCGCUUUGGGGCAAGCUUUCGCAGAGAUGCAAUAUGCUAACAACGUGGAUCAUUAAAAACCAACAAAAUAGAACCGGAGUCCUAUUCCAUUAUUCCUAGCUGCGGUAUUCAGGCGACCG